AUAAUUAACGUAUAUUUAUUUUAUUUAUUUUUAUACGUUUUAAAUAUUUCAACGAUUUAUGAAAUUAAAAUAAUUUUAGAAUUUGAUGUUGAAAAUAAUUUGAAUUACGAAAACACGAUUGAAUUUAGAAAACAAUCCUAAGUGGUGUUGAAUUCAAAUACCAAACUUAAUUCUAAUCCUAGCCCAAUUUGAUAUAGCCCAAUUUGAUAAAGCUCAAAACAAAUAACCCAUAAACCCAAAUCCUUGUUUCAAUACUCACGUGAAACUCAACUCCCCUUCUCUUCUCCCCAUUCACGUGUUCACGUAAAAAUCACAAAAAUCUCAAACCCUCCUCCUUGCUCUCAGCCGUCGGACCUCUGCUGCGCCACCACUCCUCCGUCGUCGCGACAGCCACCACUGCACGCUACCACCAGCCACCUUCGUCGUUCCUCCACGCGACACCGCCCACCUGCAGCGUCGUUGCUGCGCUGCCGGCCAUCAAUUCUCCCCUUCCUCUCUGUCGCAGGCUACCACCACAAGCGCACACAACAUCACCACCGUUGCCCGACCACCUAUAGCCACCAGCCGCGUCGCCUAGCGCCGACGACCACCCACCUGCCGCGCCGCCCUGCCGCCGGCAACACUCCUUUUAUUCCCUCUCUUUUUGGCGGAGAAUUUUCUUUAGGCGAUAUUUGAAAGUGUUAAAGUGGCCUAUUAGUUGUUUAUACAAGUCUCUAAGGAUCAAUAAUCGUUGCCCAUCUACAGGUUUGAAGAUGAUGCAUCAUUGGGAUCGGGAUUAGAGAGCUUGUAGUUAUAUUUGUUUUAUUAAGUGAUUUGGUUUGUUAACUUAUAUUUGAAAGUUGUCGUACUAUUCGUAUUUCCUUAUUUCCGUUAAUUGGUUUUGGACUUAAUAUGUAAUCGAUUAUUUAUGAACCUAAAAGUUAGUUUUAUGUUUUCCGCUGCAAAAUUCUGAAUAAGCCGUACGUUUUCACACGGGCGAUAAUGCCUUGAUAAUUCUCUAUAGUUAUAUUUAUAAAAGGGUUGUUUUAGAAAAAGGGAAUUGUCGGGGUGUUGCAAAGUGGUAUCUAGAAGCUAAGGUUUUACUUUAACAAUUUUUUUUAGGCGCCUAACUAUCUAGUUAUUUAAAAUAAAUUUCUUAAAAAUCGAGCUUCUACGUAUUAUAGUGUUCAAAAAUUGGUACUUUUUUUUGGGGGGCCGAUUUCCUUUUAUCUUGUUUGAAAGUAUAUAAUAUUUCUUAUUUAAGUUCGGAAUUAACUUAUUUAUUCGAAACUUUUCGUUUAUGUGAAUUAAGUACGUUUUUCUUUAUUUUCGAAAUUAAAUUAAAUAUAUUCGAAAAAAAUAAAAUAAAAAUCUUAUUCCUUAAGUAUAUUUAUUCGUUUAAUAUUUAUUCGUUUAAUAAAUAUUUAUUCGUUUAUUAUUUAUUCGUUUAAUA
Long non-coding RNA from Spinacia oleracea (spinach), 1432 nucleotides. RefSeq lists it as uncharacterized. Lineage: Eukaryota; Viridiplantae; Streptophyta; Magnoliopsida; Caryophyllales; Amaranthaceae. The transcript is spliced from 4 exons. The record is from RefSeq and is a predicted model, not a curated record.